RNAcentral lists this ribosomal RNA (478 nucleotides) under uncultured bacterium. RNAcentral's name for it is "partial 16S ribosomal RNA". It matches the Rfam family "Bacterial small subunit ribosomal RNA", at positions 28 to 507 of the family's 1533-position model. The record is from RNAcentral.
GAUGAACGCUGGCGGCGUGCUUAACACAUGCAAGUCGAACGGGGAACCUUUUAUUGAAGCUUCGGCAGAUUUAGCUGGUUUCUAGUGGCGGACGGGUGAGUAACGCGUGGGUAACCUGCCUUAUACAGGUGGAUAACAGUCAGAAAUGGCUGCUAAUACCGCAUAAGCGCACAGAGCUGCAUGGCUCAGUGUGAAAAACUCCGGUGGUAUAAGAUGGACCCGCGUUGGAUUAGCUGGUUGGUGGGGUAACGGCCCACCAAGGCGACGAUCCAUAGCCGGCCCGAGAGGGUGAACGGCCACAUUGGGACUGAGACACGGCCCAGACUCCUACGGGAGGCAGCAGUGGGGAAUAUUGCACAAUGGGGGAAACCCCGAUGCAGCGACGCCGCGUGAAGGAAGAAGUAUCUCGGGAUGUAAACUUCUAUCAGCAGGGAAGAUAAUGACGGUACCUGACUAAGAAGCCCCGGCUAACUACGUG